Molecule: transfer RNA, 80 nt
Filed under: Clostridium perfringens
Lineage: Bacteria; Bacillati; Bacillota; Clostridia; Eubacteriales; Clostridiaceae
Description: tRNA-OTHER
Rfam family: tRNA
About the family: Transfer RNA (tRNA) molecules are approximately 80 nucleotides in length. Their secondary structure includes four short double-helical elements and three loops (D, anti-codon, and T loops).
Source: RNAcentral
GGAGAUAUAGCUUAAUAGGUAGGGUAUCGCUUUCUAGGUUAGUAGGGCGAAGGUUAGAGGUUUGAAUCCGUUUAUCUCUA